Pogoniulus pusillus (Red-fronted tinkerbird) is the source of this 696-nucleotide long non-coding RNA. RefSeq lists it as uncharacterized. The record is from RefSeq and is a predicted model, not a curated record. NCBI's taxonomy places the organism in Eukaryota, Metazoa, Chordata, Aves, Piciformes, Lybiidae. The transcript has 4 exons.
UGAUCUCUUCCUCCGCAGUGUGUGGCAUGAGCCGCAUGCGGCCUCUUCGGGAUGGUCGCUCAGCGAGGAGGAAGGCGGCAGAAAGCGUCCCGAAGGCUGGAGGUGCCCCUGCAGGCUUUGUCCGCUGGCCUGCCGCGCUCGGCUGCUCCCCAGAGCGGCAUGGCCGUGCCAGGGGAAAGCCAGCACGGGGCAGCUGCGGUCCUGCCACCCAACGGGCGCCGGUAGGAGUCCUACUUGGCAUGCUCAGGUUUGAGAUAUUCUAGACAUGAGUGAUCACACCUAAACCCAAAGCAAAGCUUGGGACUCCCUAGGAAGUGCCUUCUAACAGAAGGUUUCUCAAGCCUGUUUGUUGUGAGCCUGUGUGAUAAAUGUCUUGAGUGAAGAGAGUUCCCUGUAAAUUGCUUGGUCUCCAGGGAGGAAUCCAGCAUGUGCAAGGAACUUCAGCCAGUAAUAAACAUCAGCUUACAAUGUCCUGAGUGGCUGAUCUCUGAGUUCACACCAGAUGACUUCAGUUGCCACCUGCAAUGCAUUGUGUUGAGAGUGGAAUCCAGACAAGCAGUGGCUGAAGACUGCACACCUUCAGUGAGCAUGCCUAGUCAGAUGAAGCUCACCAUUUGAUGAGACCUGUUUCUUAACCUGUAAUGACAGGAGGAGGAAUGGGUUUAAACUGGCAGAGGGGAGAUUGGAGCUGGAUGU